CCUACGGGAGGCUGCAGUGAGGAAUAUUGGUCAAUGGACGAAAGUCUGAACCAGCAACGUAGCGUGAAGGAUGACUGCCCUAUGGGUUGUAACCUUCUUUUAUAUGGGAAUAAAAUGUUCCACGUGUGGGAUUUUGUAUGUCCCAUAUGAAUAAGGAUCGGAUAACUCCGUGCCAGAAGCCGCGGUAAUACGGAGGAUCCGAGCGUUAUCCGGAUUUAUUGGGGUUAAAGGGAGCGUAGGUGGAUUGUUAAGUCAGUUGUGAAAGUGUGCGGCGCAACCGUAAAAUUGCAGUUGAAACUGGCAGUCUUGAGUACAGUAGAGGUGGGCGGAAUUCGUGGUGUAGCGGUGAAAUGCUUAGAUAUCACGAAGAACUCCGAUUGCGAAGGCAGCUCACUGGACUGCAACUGACACUGAGGCUCGAAAGUGUGGGUAUCAAACAGGAUUAGAUACCCUUGUAGUC
RNAcentral lists this ribosomal RNA (460 nucleotides) under uncultured bacterium. RNAcentral describes it as "partial 16S ribosomal RNA". It matches the Rfam family "Bacterial small subunit ribosomal RNA", at positions 338 to 795 of the family's 1533-position model. The record is from RNAcentral.